AUUGAACGCUGGCGGCAUGCCUUACACAUGCAAGUCGAACGGUAACAGGUCUUCGGAUGCUGACGAGUGGCGAACGGGUGAGUAAUACAUCGGAACGUGCCUAGUAGUGGGGGAUAACUACUCGAAAGAGUGGCUAAUACCGCAUGAGAUCUACGGAUGAAAGCAGGGGAUCGCAAGACCUUGUGCUACUAGAGCGGCCGAUGGCCGAUUAGGUAGUUGGUGGGAUAAAAGCUUACCAAGCCGACGAUCUGUAGCUGGUCUGAGAGGACGAUCAGCCACACUGGGACUGAGACACGGCCCAGACUCCUACGGGAGGCAGCAGUGGGGAAUUUUGGACAAUGGGCGAAAGCCUGAUCCAGCAAUGCCGCGUGCAGGAUGAGGGCCUUCGGGUUGUAAACUGCUUUUGUACGGAACGAGAAGCCCCGGGUUAAUACCCUGGGGUCAUGACGGUACCGUAAGAAUAAGCACCGGCUAACUACGUGCCAGCCGCCGCCGUAA
This 498-nucleotide ribosomal RNA is filed under the name uncultured bacterium. Its description in RNAcentral is "partial 16S ribosomal RNA". It matches the Rfam family "Bacterial small subunit ribosomal RNA", at positions 30 to 523 of the family's 1533-position model. The record is from RNAcentral.